This is a long non-coding RNA of Oncorhynchus tshawytscha (Chinook salmon), 354 nucleotides long. The record is from Ensembl. Lineage: Eukaryota; Metazoa; Chordata; Actinopteri; Salmoniformes; Salmonidae.
UCUCUCUCCAGGUGUGUGUGUUGUCUCUCCCAGGUGUGUGUGUUGUCUCUCUCCAGGUGUGUGUGUUGUCUCUCUCCAGGUGUGUGUGUUGUCUCUCUCCAAGUGUGUGUGUUGUCUCUCCAGGUAUGUGUGUGUGUUGUCUCUCUCCAGGUAUGUGUGUGUUGUCUCUCUCCAGGUAUGUGUGUGUGUUGUCUCUCUCCAGGUAUGUGUGUGUGUUGUCUCUCUCCAGGUAUGUGUGUGUGUUGUCUCUCUCCAGGUAUGUGUGUGUGUUGUCUCUCUCCAGGUAUGUGUGUGUGUUGUCUCUCCAGGUGUGUGUGUGUGUUGUCUCUCUCCAGGUAUGUGUGUGUGUUGUCU